RNAcentral lists this ribosomal RNA (253 nucleotides) under uncultured bacterium. RNAcentral describes it as "partial 16S ribosomal RNA". It matches the Rfam family "Bacterial small subunit ribosomal RNA", at positions 524 to 776 of the family's 1533-position model. The record is from RNAcentral.
UACAGAGGUGGCAAGCGUUGUUCGGAAUUACUGGGCGUAAAGGGCGCGUAGGCGGCCUUCUAAGUCAGACGUGAAAUCCCCCGGCUUAACCUGGGAACUGCGUCUAAUACUGGGAGGCUUGAGUAUGGGAGAGGGAUGUAGAAUUCCAGGUGUAGCGGUGAAAUGCGUAGAUAUCUGGAGGAAUACCGGUGGCGAAGGCGGCAUCCUGGACCAUAACUGACGCUGAGGCGCGAAAGCUAGGGGAGCAAACGGG